This is a non-coding RNA of Bactrocera oleae (olive fruit fly), 584 nucleotides long. The record is from RefSeq and is a predicted model, not a curated record. Lineage: Eukaryota; Metazoa; Arthropoda; Insecta; Diptera; Tephritidae.
AACAAAACAUCUCUCUGCACAAUUUUUUUUUUUUGUUUUUGAUAAACAUCUAAUAUAAUUUAGAUGCUUAAGUAUGUAGGUUAAUAAGGUUAAAUUCGGUUUUUUACUUUACCGUAACGAAUUUAGCUACAGGAUACAGCAACGUACAUACAUAUGUUAAUUAUACAAAACUAAUGCUUAUGCGGUGCGAUAACAACUGACUUUACAAAUUUUUAAGGAGGAAACUGAAAGUAAUAUCUAUAUAUGGUAUGAUUUUAGACAUUAUUUACCGGCAAUAUGAAUAAUAUCACGCAAAUAAUAAAUUGGCACGUGUUGUUGUCCAAUAAGAACUAAUGCCAAAUAAUCAAUUGAUUUUCCAGCUAAUAUAUUUAUGUAUAAUAAGAAACUAUGUUCUAUAAUGCACAGUUGGUUUGCAAUCUAGAAUGCAUAUUCUUCGUUGCACUUAUGUGUAUCUCACACUACGGUAGUUUUAAUUUAUUCGACAAAAAAUUGUUUAACUCACACACGAAUUAUUACAGCAAGCGACAACUCAACACCGCUGCAGUCAAAUAAAGAAUGCUAAAUGAAAGCAAUUUGUAAAAUUA